CCGCCUACGGGGGGCAGCAGUGAGGAAUAUUGGUCAAUGGCCGGAAGGCUGAACCAGCCAAGUCGCGUGAGGGAAUAAGGCCCUAUGGGUCGUAAACCUCUUUUGUCAGGGAGCAAAGGCGUCCACGUGUGGACGAGAGGAGAGUACCUGAAGAAAAAGCAUCGGCUAACUCCGUGCCAGCAGCCGCGGUAAUACGGAGGAUGCGAGCGUUAUCCGGAUUUAUUGGGUUUAAAGGGUGCGUAGGCGGACUGUCAAGUCAGCGGUAAAAUAGGGGGGCUCAACCUCCGCCCGCCGUUGAAACUGAG
This 305-nucleotide ribosomal RNA is filed under the name uncultured bacterium. RNAcentral's name for it is "bacterial SSU rRNA". It matches the Rfam family "Bacterial small subunit ribosomal RNA", at positions 335 to 637 of the family's 1533-position model. The record is from RNAcentral.